Molecule: ribosomal RNA, 253 nt
Filed under: uncultured bacterium
Lineage: Bacteria
Description: partial 16S ribosomal RNA
Rfam family: Bacterial small subunit ribosomal RNA
Source: RNAcentral
UACGAAGGGGGCUAGCGUUGUUCGGAAUCACUGGGCGUAAAGCGCACGUAGGCGGACACUUAAGUCAGAGGUGAAAUCCCAAGGCUCAACCUUGGAACUGCCUUUGAUACUGGGUGUCUUGAGGUCGGAAGAGGUAAGUGGAACUGCGAGUGUAGAGGUGAAAUUCGUAGAUAUUCGCAAGAACACCAGUGGCGAAGGCGGCUUACUGGUCCGAUACUGACGCUGAGGUGCGAAAGCGUGGGGAGCAGACAGG